This 219-nucleotide ribosomal RNA is filed under the name uncultured bacterium. RNAcentral describes it as "partial 16S ribosomal RNA". It matches the Rfam family "Bacterial small subunit ribosomal RNA", at positions 524 to 741 of the family's 1533-position model. The record is from RNAcentral.
UACGAAGGGGGCUAGCGUUGCUCGGAAUCACUGGGCGUAAAGGGCGCGUAGGCGGUGCGGUAAGUCCGCAGUGAAAUCUCUGGGCUCAACUCAGAGUCUGCUGUGGAAACUGCCGUGCUUGAGUGUGGGAGAGGUGGAGUGGAAUUCCCGGUGUAGCGGUGAAAUGCGUAGAUAUCGUGAGGAAGAACCGUGGCGAAGGCGGGUCUCUGGACAGCUUCC